This 1850-nucleotide unclassified non-coding RNA is filed under the name Hevea brasiliensis (rubber tree). Lineage: Eukaryota; Viridiplantae; Streptophyta; Magnoliopsida; Malpighiales; Euphorbiaceae. The record is from RNAcentral.
GCAAAGUUCAGAAAUUAGUUUUAGAUACCAAUUAUCUACAUGGUACCAGAGCAGGUUUCGAUCUAGGAGAUGGUUAUUUUUUCUUGUCCUUCUGAAAUUCUCUCAAAAACUUGAAGAAUUCCAUUAGAAGAUUUGCGUAAAGCAAAGAAUGGAGGAACAUGUUGUAAUGAGAGGUCGAAAUCAAGUUGAAAGAGAAACUGUAAGAAAUCAGAAUAUAGGAGAUCCAAUGAAUUUACUAGAAUCUGAUCAUCCAGGUAUGAUUCUUGUCUCAGCUCCUUUAGUUGGAAGUAAUUUUCGAUCAUGGUGUAGAGCAAUGCGAAUAGCCCUAGGAGCCAAGCAAAUAUUAGGGUUUGUUAAUGGGACAAUUCCAACACCUGAAGAGGGAUCUGAGGGUUAUGAGUUGUGGAAAAGAUGUGAUUACAUGGUCACUUCGUGGAUUUUGAACUCCAUAUCAAAAGAGUUAGUGGAGGCCUUUAUAUUCACAACUUCAUCAAAGGAGUUAUGGGAGGAGAUAGUAGAGAGAUUUGGAGAGAGUAAUGGGCCUUUGAUUUACCAAUUGCAAAGGAAAAUUUCUUCAAUCACUCAAGAAAAUGAUACUAUUGCUGUGUAUUUUAUGAAGCUUAAAGUGCUUUGGGAUUAAUUGAAUUCUAUUGAUGUUUUACCUCAGUGUGCAUGUGGAGUAGUAAAAGAGGUUACUGAGUUAAAUGAAAGAAAUAGGUUGAUGCAAUUUCUCAUGGGAUUAAAUGAUGUAUUUGAACCUGUUCGUAAUCAGAUCUUGUUACAAGAUACCCUGCCUUCAAUUAACAAGGCAUAUUUAAUGGCUCAGAAGUUUGAGACACAAAAACAAGUUCUAUCAAAUUUUUCUGAAGUAAAGGAUUCAGUUGCUUUUUUUACAAAAACACAAACUCAGUCGCAGAAUUUUAAGAGAGACCAAAGGGACCAAAGAAGGUAUGAUCCGAGGAAGGGACAUUGCACAUAUUGCAAUCUGGAUGACCAUACUAGAGAAGGGUGUUUCAAACUUAUAGGGUACCCAAAUUGGUGGCAGUCCAAGAACAAAACCACACAGUAGAAUAUUCCUCGAUAGUACAAGUUUAACUCAGAUCAAGGCAAUAGAGUUGCUGCAACAGCUGUGAAUCAGUUUUGUUUGGAUACUCCUCUUGAUAUUGCAUGUGACAAUAGUAAAAUUGAGGAGUUAAGUACAAUGUUGGGCUCAUUACAGCAGGAGAUUCAGAGACUGUCUAGAGGAAAAGCAUCAAUGACAGCUACUACUUCAUCAAUUUCACAUCCAGGAACAUCAACACUUCAGAGUGUCACUAAUUUUGCUGGUAAUUUUCGUCAAGUUAGUGCUUUAUUUGCAAAAGGAUAUGAUGACAAUUUAAGGAUAAUAGAUACAGGUGCCACAGACCACAUGGCACCUGCAUUACACUUGUUUGAUUCCCUUAUGACCCUUGUUGCACCUAUUUCUAUUCACUUACCAACUGGCAAUGUUAGUCAAGUUACCCAAGCUAGCACCAUUAGUUUACAUUCACACAUACAACUCCAAAAUGCACUUUACCUGCCUUCUUUUACCCAUAAUUUGUUGUCAGUAAGAAAGCUAGUCAAAACUUCAACUAUCAAACUCACCUUUUAUCCUUUAUUUUGUUUGCUUCAGGACUAGUAGACUGAGCAAGUAUUAGCAAUAGGAAGAGAGGCACAGGAUUAUACAUUUUGGACAAAUUGAGUUUUGUAACUUCCACAAUUGUUUCUUAUUUACAAAAGCUGCAACAAAUUUUUCCUUCUUUUCACUCUGUAAAUACCAUUCUUUCUAACUUUGAAAUCAAUAAAGAGAGUUUUAUAUGUUCCAAUGCAUC